AUGGCAUCCAACCAUCGUCGCUUCCUCCUCUCCGGCGCCGUCUUGCUCUCGGUCCUCGCCGCCGCGGCCGCCCUGGAGAGCGUCGAGGACGAGUGCCAGCCAGGGGUGGCCUUCCCGCACAACGCGUUAGCCACCUGCCACACCUACGUGAUCAAACGGGUCUGCCACCGCGGUCCCAGUCGGCCCAUGCUGGUGAAGGAGCGGUGUUGCCGGGAGCUGGCGGCCGUCCCGGAUUACUGCCGGUGCGAGGCGCUGCGCGUCCUCAUGGAUGGGGUGCGCGUGGAGGAGGGCCACGUGGUGGAGGGCCGCCUUGGUGACAGUCGUGACUGCCCGAGGGAGGCGCAGAGGGCGUUCGCCGCCACGCUGGUCACGGCGGCGGAAUGCAACCUGCCGACCGUCUCGGGAGUCGGUAGUACAUUUGGUGCUACCGGCAGAUUGAUGAAGAUUGAAUUGCCCAAGUACUGA
This 465-nucleotide ribosomal RNA is filed under the name Triticum aestivum (bread wheat). Its description in RNAcentral is "partial small subunit ribosomal RNA". Lineage: Eukaryota; Viridiplantae; Streptophyta; Magnoliopsida; Poales; Poaceae. The record is from RNAcentral.